This 387-nucleotide ribosomal RNA is filed under the name uncultured bacterium. RNAcentral describes it as "bacterial SSU rRNA". It matches the Rfam family "Bacterial small subunit ribosomal RNA", at positions 29 to 416 of the family's 1533-position model. The record is from RNAcentral.
AUUGAACGCUGGCGGCGUGCUUAACACAUGCAAGUCGUGCGGUAACAGGCGUAGCAAUACGCGCUGACGAGCGGCGAACGGGUGCGUAAUACAUGGGAAUCUGCCCUUUAGUGGGGAAUAACCCGGCGAAAGCCGGGCUAAUGCCGCAUAAGAUCUUCGGAUGAAAGCGGGGGACCGUAAGGCCUCGCGCUGAUGGAUGAGCCCAUGUCGGAUUAGCUAGUGGUGAGGUAACGGCUCACCAAGGCGACGAUCCGUAGCUGGUCUGAGAGGACGGCCAGCCACACUGGGACUGAGACACGGCCCAGACUCCUACGGGAGGCAGCAGUGGGGAAUAUUGGACAAUGGGCGAAAGCCUGAUCCAGCGACGCCGCGUGUGUGAAGAAGGCC